AGAGUUUGAUCCUGGCUCAGGAUGAACGCUGGCGGCGUGCUUAACACAUGCAAGUCGAACGGGAAUUACUUUAUUGAAACUUCGGUCGAUAUGAUUUAAUUCUAGUGGCGGACGGGUGAGUAACGCGUGGGUAACCUGCCUUAUACAGGGGGAUAACAGUCAGAAAUGGCUGCUAAUACCGCAUAAGCGCACAGAGCUGCAUGGCUCGGUGUGAAAAACUCCGGUGGUAUGGGAUGGGCCCGCGUCUGAUUAGGCAGUUGGCGGGGUAACGGCCCACCAAACCGACGAUCAGUAGCCGGCCUGAGAGGGCGACCGGCCACAUUGGGACUGAGACACGGCCCAAACUCCUACGGGAGGCAGCAGUGGGGAAUAUUGCACAAUGGGGGAAACCCUGAUGCAGCGACGCCGCGUGAGUGAAGAAGUAUUUCGGUAUGUAAAGCUCUAUCAGCAGGGAAGAUAAUGACGGUACCUGAC
This 474-nucleotide ribosomal RNA is filed under the name uncultured bacterium. RNAcentral describes it as "bacterial SSU rRNA". It matches the Rfam family "Bacterial small subunit ribosomal RNA", at positions 8 to 483 of the family's 1533-position model. The record is from RNAcentral.